ACUUAAUAUGUGCGCCUGCUGUAAAUAUGGACGAACAGCAAUAUGUAGGCUUUAGGUGGGUUUUGUAUUAAGUUCAAGAUCGCCCAUAAAGGACCUACAGAGAUUU
Molecule: small nucleolar RNA, 106 nt
Organism: Tripterygium wilfordii
Lineage: Eukaryota; Viridiplantae; Streptophyta; Magnoliopsida; Celastrales; Celastraceae
Source: RefSeq, a predicted model, not a curated record